CUCAAUUGCUCACAGCUCAAGUGAGCGUGAGAUGAGGGAGAGAUCCGGAAGAAGAGAAGAAAGAAAGAGGAAGAAAAGAAAGGAAAGAGAGAAGAGAAAAGAGAGAAGAAAAGACUGAAAGAAAAGAGAGAAGAAAGGAAAGAGAGAAGAGAAAGAAAGAAAGAGGAGGAAGAAGGAAAAUAAAAUAAAAAAUAUGAGAAUUCUCCAAGGAAUUGUGAGUUGGAUGCGGAUUCAAAAUAAGGGCAUGCAAUGCCAGGUAAGGGGACACAACACCAAAAACCCCAACAAAUUUUUAUUAUAAAUCUUUUGAAAAAUGUUGGAGAUUUUAUAAAGAAUCCACUUACAUGAUUUUCAAUUGCACUUCCUUCCAUAUUUUAAUGACAAGUUCAUAUGUCAUUGUUUAAGAAUUUUGAUACAGUUACCAUAUUUCAUGAUUUAUACAUGAUUGCAAUUAUGAAUGAAAAGAGCUCUCAAAGUUCAUGGUACGGGUGAGUUUACCAGAUCAUAUAAAAUGUUAUAUGUGCAUUCAUGGCAUAGCAGAUGAGUUUACAGAUCACAUGAAAUGUUAUAUGUGCAUUCAUGGCACAAUAUACAGUUACAGAUGAGUUUACAAAUCAUAUGAAAUGUUAUAUGUGCAUUCAUGAUUAAAAACGUUUAACCCGAGACAUGAUUAUAGUGACGAUCGGUACCAUAUAGGGUAGCAUGGCAAGCACACCGAAUGACGGUUACGAGAAGGUGUGUGCUACCGGCCAGGUGGCCUUCACCUAGGGAAGUUCCCAACCUGGUAACUCUCCCAUGUGACGACAAGAUGAGCAUAUAGGUCAUUUGGGACACGCCAACGUGCGCUGCUCACAGUAAAAUUGUGGCGUCGGGUCAAAGGCGAAAUCAACAAGACAGGAAGAGGAAGAAGAAGAAGGAGAAGGAGAAGAUAGACGGACCUAGAUCGAAUCGAAUCGAAUCGGAUCCGACCCACAUACGCACAUCCUCCUGGUAUGUACGUGGGUCUGUGUAUUUUCAUGUUUUGGGGCUGUUUAUGGAUUUGGGUCUUUGUUUUCGUCCCCUGUAAUUUUGAGUUGAGCUUGCAUAUGUUGUUUUCUUUUCUGUGAACAUUGGCUUUGACGGUGAAUUUGUUAUUCUGGAGUUUUUUCUUUCUUGGUUCAAAUGUGUAGUGUUUGCAUAUGAAUAUAUAUAU
Molecule: long non-coding RNA, 1192 nt
Organism: Corylus avellana
Lineage: Eukaryota; Viridiplantae; Streptophyta; Magnoliopsida; Fagales; Betulaceae
Source: RefSeq, a predicted model, not a curated record